This 939-nucleotide ribosomal RNA is filed under the name uncultured Cryomorpha sp. Its description in RNAcentral is "bacterial SSU rRNA". It matches the Rfam family "Bacterial small subunit ribosomal RNA", at positions 480 to 1427 of the family's 1533-position model. The record is from RNAcentral. Lineage: Bacteria; Pseudomonadati; Bacteroidota; Flavobacteriia; Flavobacteriales; Cryomorphaceae.
UUAGGUGAAUUCACUAGUGAUUGCCAGCAGCCGCGGUAAUACGGAGGGUGCAAGCGUUAUCCGGAUUCAUUGGGUUUAAAGGGUGCGUAGGUGGAAAAUUAAGUCAGUGGUGAAAGCUUGCGGCUCAACCGUAAAAUUGCCAUUGAUACUGAUUUUCUUGAGUAUAGUUGAAGUAGGCGGGAUGUGACAUGUAGCGGUGAAAUGCAUAGAUAUGUCACAGAACACCAAUCGCGUAGGCAGCUUACUAAGCUAUUACUGACACUGAGGCACGAAAGCGUGGGUAGCGAACAGGAUUAGAUACCCUGGUAGUCCACGCUGUAAACGAUGAUCACCCGAUGCUGGCGAUAUACUGUCAGUGUCCAAGCGAAAGUAUUAAGUGAUCCACCUGGGGAGUACGAUCGCAAGGUUGAAACUCAAAGGAAUUGACGGGGGCCCGCACAAGCGGUGGAGCAUGUGGUUUAAUUCGAUGAUACGCGAGGAACCUUACCAAGGCUUAAAUGUAGAAUGACCUUCUGGGAAACCAGAAUUCUCUUCGGAGCAAUCUACAAGGUGCUGCAUGGUUGCCGUCAGCUCGUGCCGUGAGGUGUCGGGUUAAGUCCCAUAACGAGCGCAACCCCUAUCACUAGUUGCCAGCGGAUAAUGCCGGGGACUCUAGUGAAACUGCCCGUGCAAACGGUGAGGAAGGUGGGGAUGACGUCAAAUCAUCACGGCCCUUACGUCUUGGGCUACACACGUGCUACAAUGGUCGGUACAGUGGGCAGCGACCUGGUGACAGGAAGCUAAUCUCCAAAGCCGAUCUCAGUUCGGAUUGAAGUCUGCAACUCGACUUUAUGAAGCUGGAAUCGCUAGUAAUCGCGCAUCAGCCAUGGCGCGGUGAAUACGUUCCCGGGCCUUGUACACACCGGCCGUCAAGCCAUGGAAGCUGGGGGUACCUGAAGU